UUGUGCAUUGCUUAUAUAAUAUAUUUAUUUCUUAUUCUUUGCUAGUUUUCAGGGGAGAUAUCUGAAAGCUUACAAAAGGAGACUAGUUUUCAGGAAGUAACCCAAGAGGUUCCGGAAACUGAAGAAGUUGUUAUAAAAGUUGAGGACCUUUGUAUAACUGCCAGAAUGACAGAUUGUGAGGAAGAUCAGCCAUCUUCUGCUAAUGGGAGUGGAGGAGAGUCACCGGACAAGGUGCAAGAAGUGUCUGAACCAUCAAGAGAGAAACUAGAGGAUAUUAUAGUACCUUCACUAGAAGUAGCAGACAUACAAGAAAGUGGAGAAACAUCUGCAGAGGCUGAGCAGUUACAAAAAUCAAUUGCUCCAGAGGAAAAAAUGCAGAAGAAAGACACACCCAAAGUGUUAGAAGAGGUGUCACCCUCAGACAUGAAUUUGGAAAUACAUGGAAAAGCAUUAAAAANGGCUAAAGCAGGUGAAAUUAAGAAACAUCUAGAGGAUCUGCCUGAGCAGCAGUCUGUGUCUGUGCUUUCAACUUGGACUACAAAAAUCAAAGAUACGGAUUACCCACUUAUUCAUGUGCUNUGUACAGCCUGUCCUAAAAGUGUGCUGCCUGUUGAUCUGCANCUUGUUUCUAGAGUACACCAUACUAUAGACAAAAAAGGUCAUAAUGUUUUAUUACCACCAUUUAAUCUCGGAUGCAACAAAUUAGAAGACCUCUUCCCAGCUACUGCUGCUCUUGAGAAACAGAU
Molecule: long non-coding RNA, 746 nt
Filed under: Salvator merianae (Argentine black and white tegu)
Lineage: Eukaryota; Metazoa; Chordata; Lepidosauria; Squamata; Teiidae
Description: lncRNA (ENSSMRG00000012737.1)
Source: RNAcentral